This is a ribosomal RNA of 151 nucleotides. It matches the Rfam family "5.8S ribosomal RNA". Rfam says of the family: 5.8S ribosomal RNA (5.8S rRNA) is a component of the large subunit of the eukaryotic ribosome. It is transcribed by RNA polymerase I as part of the 45S precursor that also contains 18S and 28S rRNA. The record is from Ensembl.
CACCCUUAGAGGUGGAUCACUCGGCUCCUGCAUUGGGGAAGAAUGCAGCUAGCUGCGAGAAUUAAUGUGAAUUGCAGGACAUUGAUCCUCAACACUUGUAACGCACUUGCCACACAGGUUUCCUCCAGGGGCUAUGCCUGCUUGAGCAUAG